GAUGAACGCUGGCGGCGUGCCUAAUACAUGCAAGUCGAGCGAACGGACGAGAAGCUUGCUUCUCUGAUGUUAGCGGCGGACGGGUGAGUAACUCGUGGAUAACCUACCUAUAAGACUGGGAUAACUUCGGGAAACCGGAGCUAAUACCGGAUAAUAUUUUGAACCGCAUGGUUCAAAAGUGAAAGACGGUCUUGCUGUCACUUAUAGAUGGAUCCGCGCUGCAUUAGCUAGUUGGUAAGGUAACGGCUUACCAAGGCAACGAUGCAUAGCCGACCUGAGAGGGUGAUCGGCCACACUGGAACUGAGACACGGUCCAGACUCCUACGGGAGGCAGCAGUAGGGAAUCUUCCGCAAUGGGCGAAAGCCUGACGGAGCAACGCCGCGUGAGUGAUGAAGGUCUUCGGAUCGUAAAACUCUGUUAUUAGGGAAGAACAUAUGUGUAAGUAACUGUGCACAUCUUGACGGUACCUAAUCAGAAAGCCACGUCUAACUACGUG
This 497-nucleotide ribosomal RNA is filed under the name uncultured bacterium. RNAcentral describes it as "partial 16S ribosomal RNA". It matches the Rfam family "Bacterial small subunit ribosomal RNA", at positions 28 to 507 of the family's 1533-position model. The record is from RNAcentral.